This 325-nucleotide ribosomal RNA is filed under the name uncultured bacterium. Its description in RNAcentral is "bacterial SSU rRNA". It matches the Rfam family "Bacterial small subunit ribosomal RNA", at positions 389 to 734 of the family's 1533-position model. The record is from RNAcentral.
CCAUGACGCCGCGUGCGGGAUGAAGGCCUUCGGGUUGUAAACCGCUUUCAGUAGGAAGAAGCGAAAGUGACGGUACCUACAAAAGAACACCGGCUAACUAUGUGCCACAGCCGCGGUAAUACAUAAGGUGCAAGCGUGUCCGGAAUUAUGGGCGUAAAGAGCUCGUAGUCGUUGUACGUCGAUGUGAAAAUCUGAGCUCAACCUCAACCUGCAUCGAUACGGGCAAACUAGAGUUUGGUAGGGGAGACUGGAAUUCCUGGUGUAGCGGUGGAAUGCGCAGAUAUCAGGAGGAACACCAACGGCGAAAGGGCNNAGGUCUCUGGGG